RNAcentral lists this long non-coding RNA (629 nucleotides) under Malus domestica (apple). Its description in RNAcentral is "long non-coding RNA (MDOM_LNC003419)". Lineage: Eukaryota; Viridiplantae; Streptophyta; Magnoliopsida; Rosales; Rosaceae. The record is from RNAcentral.
UCAUUUAAUUUUGGUUGACAAUGAGUGUUUUAUUAAUCAGUAAAGAUACUACUAAUAAAUAAUAACAAAUGGGGAAAUUGCACAAAUAGUAAUAUCAGUCCAAUUAAAAAUCUUGUUUGAUAAAUUGCCAUGAUGAUUAGUGCCUUAAUCUUAAACUUAUUGUAUUCUGAAUUCAAACCCUUCUCUUGUAUUUAGUACAAUGUAUCGCCUAUGCUACCAACAUUCAUUAUUUUUCAUUAAAAAUUUAGUCAAAACUUAUUAUUUGUAUAAGCAUGAAAAUCAAGAGCGGCUCAACUACAAGAUGACUUAUUCUAACAUCCAACUGACUAAGGCUUGUGAAUACAUGUUGAAGCGGUGAAAGUGACUAAAGCUACAUUAGGGUUUGUAAGUAUUAUACUAAUUUUAAUACAUUGGUGCACUUUGUAUAUAGUCUAAUAUACUAGUGGAUAAGGUGUUGGGUUCUACUUAUACGUUUUGGGUUCAAAACUUUCCCUCCUUUAAAUUAUUGUAAUAGUUUCGAACCCGUCUCCCUAUCUUAUAUUAUUGUAAUAGUUUUGAAACUAUCGUCCUGUAAGCUCUUAAAUUAUUAUAAUAAUUUUAAACUUUUCGCUCAUAUUAUUAAUAAAUUU